GAUGAAGAACGUAGCGAAAUGCGAUAAGUAAUGUGAAUUGCAGAAUUCAGUGAAUCAUCGAAUCUUUGAACGCAUCUUGCGCUCCUUGGUAUUCUGAGGAGCAUGCCUGUUUGAGUGUCAUUAAAUUCUCAACUACACUGACUUUGAAUUGGUGUGGCUUGGAUUUGGGAGGAAAAUUGUUGUGGGCUUUUUGUAUAGUCUGCUCCCCUGAAAUUGAUUAGCGGUACCUUUGUGGAACUGUCUACAGGUGUGAUAAUUAUCUACAUCUUAGACAUCUGCUGGAAUGCUGCUUUCUAAACCUUACUUGUAUUGACAAUCUUGACCUCAAAUCAGGUAGGACUACCCGCUGAACUUAAGCAUAUCAAUAAGCGGAGGA
This 376-nucleotide unclassified non-coding RNA is filed under the name soil metagenome. Its description in RNAcentral is "partial contains 5.8S ribosomal RNA, internal transcribed spacer 2, and large subunit ribosomal RNA". The stretch from base 1 to 120 matches the Rfam family "5.8S ribosomal RNA", at positions 35 to 154 of the family's 154-position model. The record is from RNAcentral.